Molecule: ribosomal RNA, 497 nt
Filed under: uncultured bacterium
Lineage: Bacteria
Description: partial 16S ribosomal RNA
Rfam family: Bacterial small subunit ribosomal RNA
Source: RNAcentral
GAUGAACGCUGGCGGCGUGCCUAAUACAUGCAAGUCGAGCGAACAGACGAGGAGCUUGCUCCUCUGACGUUAGCGGCGGACGGGUGAGUAACACGUGGAUAACCUACCUAUAAGACUGGGAUAACUUCGGGAAACCGGAGCUAAUACCGGAUAAUAUAUUGAACCGCAUGGUUCAAUAGUGAAAGACGGUUUUGCUGUCACUUAUAGAUGGAUCCGCGCCGCAUUAGCUAGUUGGUAAGGUAACGGCUUACCAAGGCAACGAUGCGUAGCCGACGGGAGAGGGGGAUUGGCCACACUGGAACUGAGACACGGUCCAGACUCCUACGGGAGGCAGCAGUAGGGAAUCUUCCGCAAUGGGCGAGAGCCUGACGGAGCAACGCCGCGUGAGUGAUGAAGGUCUUCGGAUCGUAAAACUCUGUUAUUAGGGAAGAACAAAUGUGUAAGUAACUAUGCACGUCUUGACGGUACCUAAUCAGAAAGCCACGGCUAACUACGUG